AGUGGGGAAUAUUGGACAAUGGGCGAAAGCCUGAUCCAGCAAUGCCGCGUGAGUGAUGAAGGCCUUAGGGUUGUAAAGCUCUUUUACCCGGGAAGAUAAUGACUGUACCGGGAGAAUAAGCUCCGGCUAACUCCGUGCCAGCAGCCGCGGUAAUACGGAGGGAGCUAGCGUUGUUCGGAAUUACUGGGCGUAAAGCGCACGUAGGCGGCUUUGUAAGUUAGAGGUGAAAGCCUGGAGCUCAACUCCAGAACUGCCUUUAAGACUGCAUCGCUUGAAUCCAGGAGAGGUGAGUGGAAUUCCGAGUGUAGAGGUGAAAUUCGUAGAUAUUCGGAAGAACACCAGUGGCGAAGGCGGCUCACUGGACUGGUAUUGACGCUGAGGUGCGAAAGCGUGGGGAGCAAA
RNAcentral lists this ribosomal RNA (402 nucleotides) under uncultured Sphingomonas sp. RNAcentral describes it as "bacterial SSU rRNA". It matches the Rfam family "Bacterial small subunit ribosomal RNA", at positions 353 to 772 of the family's 1533-position model. Lineage: Bacteria; Pseudomonadati; Pseudomonadota; Alphaproteobacteria; Sphingomonadales; Sphingomonadaceae. The record is from RNAcentral.